This 505-nucleotide ribosomal RNA is filed under the name uncultured bacterium. Its description in RNAcentral is "partial 16S ribosomal RNA". It matches the Rfam family "Bacterial small subunit ribosomal RNA", at positions 28 to 507 of the family's 1533-position model. The record is from RNAcentral.
GACGAACGCUGGCGGCGUGCCUAAUACAUGCAAGUAGAACGCACAGUUUUUACCGUAGCUUGCUACACCAUAGACUGUGAGUUGCGAACGGGUGAGUAACGCGUAGGUAACCUGCCUGGUAGCGGGGGAUAACUAUUGGAAACGAUAGCUAAUACCGCAUAAUAUUGAUUAUUGCAUGAUAAUUGAUUGAAAGAUGCUAUUGCAUCACUACCAGAUGGACCUGCGUUGUAUUAGCUAGUAGGUGAGGUAACGGCUCACCUAGGCGACGAUACAUAGCCGACCUGAGAGGGUGAUCGGCCACACUGGGACUGAGACACGGCCCAGACUCCUACGGGAGGCAGCAGUAGGGAAUCUUCGGCAAUGGACGAAAGUCUGACCGAGCAACGCCGCGUGAGUGAAGAAGGUUUUCGGAUCGUAAAGCUCUGUUGUAAGAGAAGAACGGGUAUGAGAGUGGAAAGUUCACACUGUGACGGUAUCUUACCAGAAAGGGACGGCUAACUACGUG